Molecule: ribosomal RNA, 551 nt
Filed under: uncultured bacterium
Lineage: Bacteria
Description: bacterial SSU rRNA
Rfam family: Bacterial small subunit ribosomal RNA
Source: RNAcentral
UAGGGAAUCUUCGGCAAUGGACGGAAGUCUGACCGAGCAACGCCGCGUGAGUGAAGAAGGUUUUCGGAUCGUAAAGCUCUGUUGUAAGAGAAGAACGAGUGUGAGAGUGGAAAGUUCACACUGUGACGGUAUCUUACCAGAAAGGGACGGCUAACUACGUGCCAGCAGCCGCGGUAAUACGUAGGUCCCGAGCGUUGUCCGGAUUUAUUGGGCGUAAAGCGAGCGCAGGCGGUUAGAUAAGUCUGAAGUUAAAGGCUGUGGCUUAACCAUAGUACGCUUUGGAAACUGUUUAACUUGAGUGCAAGAGGGGAGAGUGGAAUUCUUCCAUGAGUAGCGGUGAAACGUAGAUAUAAGGAGGAACACCGGUGGCGAAAGCGGCUCUCUGGCUUGUAACUGACGCUGAGGCUCGAAAGCGUGGGGAGCAAACAGGAUUAGAUACCCUGGUAGUCCACGCCGUAAACGAUGAGUGCUAGGUGUUAGACCCUUUCCGGGGUUUAGUGCCGCAGCUAACGCAUUAAGCACUCCGCCUGGGGAGUACGACCGCAAGGUUG